This 406-nucleotide long non-coding RNA is filed under the name Mytilus galloprovincialis (Mediterranean mussel). The record is from RNAcentral. Lineage: Eukaryota; Metazoa; Mollusca; Bivalvia; Mytilida; Mytilidae.
UGCCAAUGACAUGAGUUAAAUUUCUUUUACAAAAUAGGUUUAACUAUGACUUUUUUUGUCAGACAUUUGCGAUGAAGAUGACAUUCUGAAUUCACAAGCAAAUUUAUACAAAUUGAUGGCGUUAAGAGUCACAUUUUCAUAUUUCAUAGUUUCUGUGUGUCUCUUCUUUGUGAGUUUUUCAAGACCUCCAAACUUAAGCUUAUAUACCUGCAAACAAAAUUUAUCAUCAUUUCUACCUGUAUAAGAAUGAUCUUUUUGUGGAUUGAAUAGGUCAACUAAAUGGUCUAUCCCUUUUCUUUUACUUCCAAUGUUGACAUUCUUUUCCUUUUCGUUGAGCCUGCUACUUUUGUCGCAAAAGCGAGACAUAGCGAACCAACCUUAAUUCUGCCGCCAGCAACGUCCACAA